Molecule: unclassified non-coding RNA, 693 nt
Filed under: Hevea brasiliensis (rubber tree)
Lineage: Eukaryota; Viridiplantae; Streptophyta; Magnoliopsida; Malpighiales; Euphorbiaceae
Source: RNAcentral
UUGAAAAAAAAAAAAAAAAAAGAACACCAUACCCACCAAAGACAUUGAAAACACAAGCAAAAGCAGGCAGAAAGAGAGGAAAAUCAAGCACAGAAACCGGAGCACAGAAGGAAAAGUUUCAAUUAAGAUCACAAAGACCACAUAACAAAACAAAAAAAACCACAUCAAUAUCCAAAACUCACAAACAAAAACAUUCCAUCACCAAAUUAAGAACCUAAAGAAGCCCGAAAGAAAAGACUGACAAAUAAUAUCUCUGGCACCCAACACCAAAACACAAAUCCAUAAAAGAAGACAGACCACGAGACACGAAGAGAACAGAAUUUAGCAGCUACCCGUCGCAAUUCUUGAUUUAUCUCCUAAGCCCAAGUUUCUUGGUUAACUCAAAAUACAGAGUAUGCAUAUAAUAUAUACGCAUACAAGAACUGAACUACCAAUACAUAUAACAUAUACAGAAGAAAAACGAGUAUCUCCAGAAAUUUCUUAGCACUGUCUCUCAAAAAAGGAAACAAAAAUAUUUUAUGUAAUUAUAUUCGAUUAUUUCCCAAAAAAAUUUUGAAACAAACCCACCAAAACUAAAACUGAAGAUUCACAUUUCUAUAUAGAAACCGAACAACCCCGACACGAAACUCCAAAAACCUGCAACUUCAACGAGAAGGCAAAUACCCAUAUAACCCUCUCUCUCUCUCUCUCUCU